UAGUCCACGCCGUAAACGAUGGACACUAGUUGUUGGACUUAUUCAGUGACUAAGCGAAAGUGAUAAGUGUCCCACCUGGGGAGUACGAUCGCAAGAUUGAAACUCAAAGGAAUUGACGGGGGCCCGCACAAGCGGUGGAGCAUGUGGUUUAAUUCGAUGAUACGCGAGGAACCUUACCAGGGCUUAAAUGUAGUGGGACAGGUCUAGAGAUAGAUUUUUCUUCGGACUCAUUACAAGGUGCUGCAUGGUUGUCGUCAGCUCGUGCCGUGAGGUGUCAGGUUAAGUCCUAUAACGAGCGCAACCCUUGUCGUUAGUUGCCAGCAAGUAAAGUUGGGGACUCUAGUCAGACUGCCGGUGCAAACCGUGAGGAAGGUGGGGAUGACGUCAAAUCAUCACGGCCCUUACGUCCUGGGCCACACACGUGCUACAAUGGUAGGGACAGAGAGCAGCCACUUAGCGAUAAGGAGCGAAUCUAUAAACCCUAUCUCAGUUCGGAUUGGAGUCUGCAA
RNAcentral lists this ribosomal RNA (509 nucleotides) under uncultured bacterium. Its description in RNAcentral is "bacterial SSU rRNA". It matches the Rfam family "Bacterial small subunit ribosomal RNA", at positions 791 to 1310 of the family's 1533-position model. The record is from RNAcentral.